Molecule: small nuclear RNA, 94 nt
Filed under: Fukomys damarensis (Damara mole-rat)
Lineage: Eukaryota; Metazoa; Chordata; Mammalia; Rodentia; Bathyergidae
Description: U2 spliceosomal RNA
Rfam family: U2 spliceosomal RNA
About the family: U2 is a small nuclear RNA (snRNA) component of the spliceosome (involved in pre-mRNA splicing). Complementary binding between U2 snRNA (in an area lying towards the 5' end but 3' to hairpin I) and the branchpoint sequence (BPS) of the intron results the bulging out of an unpaired adenosine, on the BPS, which initiates a nucleophilic attack at the intronic 5' splice site, thus starting the first of two transesterification reactions that mediate splicing.
Source: Rfam by way of RNAcentral
AUCACUUCUCAGCCUUUUGGCUAAGAUCAAAUUUAGUAUCUGUUCUUAUAAAAAUAAGAUGAAGUUUCUGCUGUACUUUACCUAUAUAACCUUA